GAUGAACGCUGGCGGCGUGCCUAAUACAUGCAAGUCGAGCGAACAGACGAGGAGCUUGCUCCUUUGACGUUAGCGGCGGACGGGUGAGUAACACGUAGGUAACCUACCUAUAAGACUGGGAUAACUUCGGGAAACCGGAGCUAAUACCGGAUAAUAUUUCGAACCGCAUGGUUCGAUAGUGAAAGAUGGCUUUGCUAUCACUUAUAGAUGGACCUGCGCCGUAUUAGCUAGUUGGUAAGGUGACGGCUUACCAAGGCAACGAUACGUAGCCGACCUGAGAGGGGGGUUCGCCAACAUGGGAAGUGGACCAGGGCCAAGCCCCCUGGGGGGGGGGCAAGAAGGAAUCCUUCGGAAAGGGGGGAAGACAUGCGGGACCACGGCGGGGUGGGUAAGGAAGGUCUUGGGAUCUAAAAACUUUUUUAUGGGGGAAAAACAACGGUGAAAUAACCUGUGCAGGUCGUGACGGUACCUAAUAAAAAACCCACGGCUAACUACGUG
Molecule: ribosomal RNA, 498 nt
Filed under: uncultured bacterium
Lineage: Bacteria
Description: partial 16S ribosomal RNA
Rfam family: Bacterial small subunit ribosomal RNA
Source: RNAcentral